GGUUAAGCGACCAAGCGUACACGGUGGAUGCCCUGGCAGUCAGAGGCGAUGAAGGACGUGCUAAUCUGCGAAAAGCGUCGGCGAGGUGAUAUGAACCUUUGACCCGGCGAUGUCCGAAUGGGGAAACCCAGUGUGACUCGUCACACUAUCGUUAACUGAAUACAUAGGUUAACGAGGCGAACCGGGGGAACUGAAACAUCUAAGUACCCCGAGGAAAAGAAAUCAACCGAGAUUCCCCCAGUAGCGGCGAGCGAACGGGGAGCAGCCCAGAGCCUGAAUCAGCCAGUGUGGUAGUGGAAGUGUCUGGAAAGGCACGCGAUACAGGGUGACAGCCCCGUACACAAAACCGCACCGGUUGUGAGCUCGAUGAGUAGGGCGGGACACGUGGUAUCCUGUCUGAAUAUGGGGGGACCAUCCUCCAAGGCUAAAUACUCCUGACUGACCGAUAGUGAACCAGUACCGUGAGGGAAAGGCGAAAAGAACCCCGGCGAGGGGAGUGAAAAAGAACCUGAAACCGUGUACGUACAAGCAGUGGGAGCCUCUUUUAUGGGGUGACUGCGUACCUUUUGUAUAAUGGGUCAGCGACUUAUAUUCUGUAGCAAGGUUAACCGGAUAGGGGAGCCGCAGGGAAACCGAGUCUUAACUGGGCGUUAAGUUGCAGGGUAUAGACCCGAAACCCGGUGAUCUAGCCAUGGGCAGGUUGAAGGUUGGGUAACACUAACUGGAGGACCGAACCGACUAAUGUUGAAAAAUUAGCGGAUGACCUGUGGCUGGGGGUGAAAGGCCAAUCAAACCGGGAGAUAGCUGGUUCUCCCCGAAAGCUAUUUAGGUAGCGCCUCGUGAACUCAUCUCCGGGGGUAGAGCACUGUUUCGGCUAGGGGGCCAUCCCGGCUUACCAACCCGAUGCAAACUGCGAAUACCGGAGAAUGUUAUCACGGGAGACACACGGCGGGUGCUAACGUCCGUCGUGAAGAGGGAAACAACCCAGACCGCCAGCUAAGGUCCCAAAGUCAUGGUUAAGUGGGAAACGAUGUGGGAAGGCUCAGACAGCCAGGAUGUUGGCUUAGAAGCAGCCAUCAUUUAAAGAAAGCGUAAUAGCUCACUGGUCGAGUCGGCCUGCGCGGAAGAUGUAACGGGGCUAAACCAUGCACCGAAGCUGCGGCAGCGACACUAUGUGUUGUUGGGUAGGGGAGCGUUCUGUAAGCCGUUGAAGGUGUGCUGUGAGGCAUGCUGGAGGUAUCAGAAGUGCGAAUGCUGACAUAAGUAACGAUAAAGCGGGUGAAAAGCCCGCUCGCCGGAAGACCAAGGGUUCCUGUCCAACGUUAAUCGGGGCAGGGUGAGUCGACCCCUAAGGCGAGGCCGAAAGGCGUAGUCGAUGGGAAACAGGUUAAUAUUCCUGUACUUGGUGUUACUGCGAAGGGGGGACGGAGAAGGCUAUGUCGGCCGGGCGACGGUUGUCCCGGUUUAAGCGUGUAGGCUGACUUUCCAGGCAAAUCCGGAGAGUCAAGGCUGAGGCGUGAUGACGAGGCACUACGGUGCUGAAGUGACAAAUGCCCUGCUUCCAGGAAAAGCCUCUAAGCAUCAGGUAACAUCAAAUCGUACCCCAAACCGACACAGGUGGUCAGGUAGAGAAUACCAAGGCGCUUGAGAGAACUCGGGUGAAGGAACUAGGCAAAAUGGUGCCGUAACUUCGGGAGAAGGCACGCUGAUAUGUAGGUGAAGUGAUUUACUCAUGGAGCUGAAAUCAGUCGAAGAUACCAGCUGGCUGCAACUGUUUAUUAAAAACACAGCACUGUGCAAACACGAAAGUGGACGUAUACGGUGUGACGCCUGCCCGGUGCCGGAAGGUUAAUUGAUGGGGUUAUCCGUAAGGAGAAGCUCUUGAUCGAAGCCCCGGUAAACGGCGGCCGUAACUAUAACGGUCCUAAGGUAGCGAAAUUCCUUGUCGGGUAAGUUCCGACCUGCACGAAUGGCGUAAUGAUGGCCAGGCUGUCUCCACCCGAGACUCAGUGAAAUUGAACUCGCUGUGAAGAUGCAGUGUACCCGCGGCAAGACGGAAAGACCCCGUGAACCUUUACUAUAGCUUGACACUGAACACUGGUCCUUGAUGUGUAGGAUAGGUGGGAGGCUUUGAAGCGUGGACGCCAGUCUGCGUGGAGCCGCCCUUGAAAUACCACCCUUUAAUGGCUGGUGUUCUAACGU
This 2202-nucleotide ribosomal RNA is filed under the name Citrobacter sedlakii. Its description in RNAcentral is "partial 23S ribosomal RNA". It matches the Rfam family "Bacterial large subunit ribosomal RNA", at positions 1 to 2228 of the family's 2925-position model. The record is from RNAcentral. Lineage: Bacteria; Pseudomonadati; Pseudomonadota; Gammaproteobacteria; Enterobacterales; Enterobacteriaceae.